Molecule: ribosomal RNA, 248 nt
Filed under: uncultured Planctomycetales bacterium
Lineage: Bacteria; Pseudomonadati; Planctomycetota; Planctomycetia; Planctomycetales
Description: partial 16S ribosomal RNA
Rfam family: Bacterial small subunit ribosomal RNA
Source: RNAcentral
GUCGGGAGUUAGGAAAUGUAAGUGCGCUAAUAUCGCAUUUAUUUGACGAAGGCUCCAGAGGAAGUCACGGCUAACUCUGUGCCAGCAGCCGCGGUAAUACAGAGGUGGCAAGCGUUGUUCGGAAUUAUUGGGCGUAAAGAGCACGUAGGUGGGUUUGUAAGUCAGAUGUGAAAGCCUUCUGUUCAACGGAAGAAUUGCAUCUGAGACUACGAAUCUUGAGUGUAGGAGGGGAGAGUGGAACUUCUGGU